RNAcentral lists this ribosomal RNA (94 nucleotides) under Klebsiella aerogenes. RNAcentral's name for it is "partial 16S ribosomal RNA". It matches the Rfam family "Bacterial small subunit ribosomal RNA", at positions 1 to 91 of the family's 1533-position model. RNAcentral also lists the same sequence under 5 other names. Lineage: Bacteria; Pseudomonadati; Pseudomonadota; Gammaproteobacteria; Enterobacterales; Enterobacteriaceae. The record is from RNAcentral.
AAAUUGAAGAGUUUGAUCAUGGCUCAGAUUGAACGCUGGCGGCAGGCCUAACACAUGCAAGUCGAGCGGUAGCACAGAGAGCUUGCUCUCGGGU